AAUUGGGGGGGGGGGGGGAAGCGAGCUUCAUUCAAAUUCUAAAUUCAUUCGCAAAUUUUGUUGAAUAUGUGAAGUCAUACAAUUAAAACUUUGUUCAAUUUUUUUACUAAAUGAUUUUUUAUCUGGUUUAUAUAUGAUUUAAAAAACUAAAAGACGACUUAUACAAAUUUGAAAUUUAAAAAAAUGUUUUUACAUCAUUAAAUAGAUAUUGUUAAUGUAAAAAAAUAAAUACAUGAGAGAUUAGUACAAAAAAUAUUUUUGUUGAUUCUGGGCCAACUAAUAAGGCAAGAUAUUUCAUUAGGCCAAUUUUGUAAUAUGAAAUCUUUGAGGCCCAAUGUUAUAAUCCACUUACACUUUCCAAAUACAUAAUUAACCAUUUUUUUUCUUUUCUGUUCGAAGAAUAUACCCUAUCCUUCGUCUCCAUUUCGUCGCUUCGGAACAAACGACGCUCAAAUCUUCUUCGAACCUGCAUGCGAAAUGAAUUCACCUUCCACAGAUCUUCAGUGAAAUGAAUCGAAGGUUCUAUCAGAUCUACCGAGUUAUGUAUUAGCUUCGUCAAUCAAAAGCCAUAAGAUCCCUGGGAAUGUACAAAUAAAUCAGAUCAAACUCACGGUGUCUGUUAAUGGAGACGAUACAUUUGUUCUGAAAUAAGAGAAGAUGCGGCAAAAAAGCACAUGGAGCUUCAGUCUUUCAGCUAAGUUCUCAUUGCCUCAGUAUGUUUGCAAAUAGAAAACAAACACUCAAAAACAGAAAUUUCAUUGACAUAAAUUUCUUUUCGUUCAACCUCAAAACAUGUGUCUUUUCCCUGGAUCAGCUUCAUAUAACACCUUCAGAUCAUGUACAAAUCCUCACUCCUUCGAUGUAAAUAAGAGAGAUUGACAAUCAAGAGAAAGAUUGUAGAUUGAAAGCUCAGCCGUUGUCUACUAAUCAGGUUAGAAUGAACGAUCUUUACUCUGUUGUUUUUUCUAUUAAAACAGAAACCAGAAAAGUAUAUAAAAACUUCAAUAUGAUAUAAUUGAAUGUAUAAAGUAGAUAGCAAAUCACAUAAGUAAUCGUUAAACACCAACGAAUAUUGAAAAGCAACAUGAAAAACUUAAACCAUAAAUUUAAAAUAGAUAGAUGCCAUAACACUAAAGAGCAUACGUCCUUCUCAAUCCUUGGAAUUCUUCUCAGAAGUCAUCAAUAAGAAUUUGCUGGAAUCCUGCAAAGAAAGAAAUAUUUUGUCAACACACAAUUCACCUUUUUUUAUUUGAAGAACAAACUCAUGCUUUCAAAAAUUAUUAAUGUUCUUACAGCUGCCUAAAAGAUUGAAUCUGUGGGAUGUUAGGUUCGAAUUCUAUCUUUGAACAACCUUCAAUGUUCUUAAUCCAUGUCAGUCGCCCUAAUGAAAAAAAAAACAAUAAUAUUUAGAUUACUAAGUUAAAGGUAAGUAAACAUUUCAAUUAAAAUAAAAAUUUUACUAUUUUAUACCUUGGCCCCUUUCAAUUUGCCAAAAACUCAAAACACACAAAACAACAUUUGCUCUUGUGGAAUUCCAAUAAGCAUCAAUCUCUGGUGCAUUAUUUCCAUAUGCAACACACUUUAGAUGUUUAUAGCUGAAAUUAUAAAGAGUUCUAUAAUUUAAAAUAUACUACAUAUAUACUAAACUGAAAUACGGGAUUAAAGUAACUGUCUAACUAACCCCGGAUUUACCAAACUAAAAACCAUUUUUGGUUUCAUUGGCCCUCCAGGCUCUCCAACUUCUUCUAGUUGACCCACACAAACCAUAGCUCCAUAGACGUCUAUUGGAUAAAAUAUAGAGCACGUGAAUUAGGAUUAUGAUUUGAAAAACAUACAGGAAAAUAUCAUUGUCUCAGGCUAAUUAAAGUACGAUGAUAAUAUUUAACUAAACCAUUUAAUAUACCAUACCUACAGAGUACAUAGGAUGUGCAAGGCCUCUCAGUAUGGUUUUAAAUUCUUUAAAACCAUAAUAGUUGCAUGGUGCUGUUGUUGUAACCUUUCGAACCACCGUAUUUUCUCCCGUUAUAACAUGGAAUCGGUUUUUGGUGGUCCUAAAUUGCCUGAAAUUGAACCUCAAUUUGAAAUUAAAAAUUUCAUACCAUUCACCUUCA
This is a long non-coding RNA of Brassica napus (rape), 2111 nucleotides long. RefSeq lists it as uncharacterized. Lineage: Eukaryota; Viridiplantae; Streptophyta; Magnoliopsida; Brassicales; Brassicaceae. The record is from RefSeq and is a predicted model, not a curated record. The transcript has 3 exons.